AACGAACGCUGGCGGCGUGGAUUAGGCAUGCAAGUCGAACGCGAAAGGGGAGCAAUCCCUGAGUAGAGUGGCGAACUGGUGAGUAACAGGUGGGCAAUGUGCCCCAAAGUGGGGGAUAACUCCGAGAAAUCGGAGCUAAUACCGCAUAUGGCGUCGAGGACUUUGGUUCAUGACGUUAAAGGAGCAAUUCGCUUUGGGAUCGGCCC
Molecule: ribosomal RNA, 206 nt
Filed under: uncultured bacterium
Lineage: Bacteria
Description: partial 16S ribosomal RNA
Rfam family: Bacterial small subunit ribosomal RNA
Source: RNAcentral